RNAcentral lists this long non-coding RNA (420 nucleotides) under Lathyrus oleraceus (garden pea). RNAcentral's name for it is "Pisum sativum (pea) long non-coding RNA (PSAT_LNC019036)". Lineage: Eukaryota; Viridiplantae; Streptophyta; Magnoliopsida; Fabales; Fabaceae. The record is from RNAcentral.
UCUUUGACAGCUUUUUGAUCUUUUCACAUGAGAAUUGUUUAGAGAUGUUGUAAUCAUCAAAAUCAUCAAGAAGCCAUGACUUCACAACGUUCAGUUAAUUCAACACACACAUUCAACUUCCAAGAGAGUUUGAUGGUGUAAGAGUGAAGAUGAUGAUUCAAUAUUUUCUUGAAAUGGAAGUCACCUUGUUUUGUUUUUUUCAUGGAUGUCGGUGACCCUUUGAUUCUUGAAGUGGUGGUCACCGAAUCUUGUUUUGUUUUUUUUGGCUGGGGAUUUAUGCAACCUCUUUUGAUUGAUGUUUUUUUUAUUUUUGAUCCCUAAUUUUUUCCUUGACCUUUUUUUCAAAUCUUUUAGUCCACCGGGAUUGCCCUCAUUUUUUCCUAAGCCACCUCCUUGGGUGUCCAACUUAGUAGGCUUUCU